This 639-nucleotide long non-coding RNA is filed under the name Setaria italica (foxtail millet). Its description in RNAcentral is "long non-coding RNA (SITA_LNC001862)". The record is from RNAcentral. Lineage: Eukaryota; Viridiplantae; Streptophyta; Magnoliopsida; Poales; Poaceae.
GGCAAGAUCUUAUUUAGACGCUGGCCUGCUACUAUAUAAUACGUUCUGGGGGGUUCUCCUUCCUCCUCGAUCGUGCUCCAUGGCGGCCGCGCCUCAGUUGCAGCUGCAGCAGGAGCAGCCGCAGCUGGUGCCGCACUUGCAGGUGUUGCAGUCACAGCCGCCGCUCUCCAUGGCGGCCUCGAACCCGCCGGAGCUCCUGCACCCACACGCAGUCAUGGUUCAGUAACAACAGCAGCGGCGGCGACGAAUCGAGAAGACGAAACAAAGGAUCAUUCCGUACGACUUACGCCUUGUUGGUGGCGGCGGCGAUGACCAUGGUGGUGGUGGUGGUGGAGGUGGCCUCCACGUCAGGGAACAUGUUGCAGCUGCAUAUAUGAUCAUUGUAAACACAUUCGUCAGUUCAGAUACAUGAUCAGUUACUGCAGAUUUCGUCAUGGAAAACGAAACAACGAUCUCAUCAGGUGUUGCGAGGUUCGAUUAGGUUCCUACCCGCCGCAUCCAUUGCCGCACUUGCAGCCGGAGCCGCACCCGCAGUUGCCGUUGCAGCAAGACAUGCUGAUGAUCUUGUUGAUCACGAGAAGGGAAGCAGGAACUGGUGCUGAGGAAGGUGUAGUGCUUCUUGCGCUCUGCUUCGCUUGU